UCUUUUGGAUCUGUCGGCUUUGCUAGAGUUCUAGCAAGGCCAUUUAAAAAGGUCGUCUCUUUGGAUUUUAGUAGUGUGAUGUUGGGGACAUAACUGAAAUUGAUCACUUUUACGAAGCGUUGAGGCUCCCUGAUAACUGUUUCGCCAAAAACACAGACAAAAUUGAAUUGGUAA
This is a long non-coding RNA of Halichondria panicea, 174 nucleotides long. RefSeq lists it as uncharacterized. The record is from RefSeq and is a predicted model, not a curated record. Lineage: Eukaryota; Metazoa; Porifera; Demospongiae; Suberitida; Halichondriidae. The transcript has 2 exons.